GUCAUUUCUUAUUGGAAUCUAGUUAUUAAAUUGGUGAUCAACCUCAUAAGACUAAAAAAGAAAAAUGCUGUCAUUCACUAUAUGUUCUCCCUCCUAAGCAUCCAAAGGAAGAUCUUCAUGCUAAUUAAACCUCAUUGUUGGUUUUGCCUGGGCCUCAUCUGCAUAGCAGCCAGAAGCGUCCAGGGUCCAGCAGUUCCUGUGGAACAGUGCCCCCCGUCCCCACCUCUGCGAACAGAACAGAACUUCCCGCUUUGUGACGCUAAGCCUCAGACAUUUACACGGUGGCAAAAGGGAGGAGUCAACAGCUACAAAGCAACGGGCUCUUGGUGGGAUCACGACUGAAGUCCUUCACGACGUGGAGCAGGGAGCGACGAACUCAGCCUGAGGCCCGGGACGGGAAGGACAGACUUCCUGCAUGCGGUUGGACACACUGCUACCGGCAACUCCUGCAUCCUCUAUCUCACAAUUUUGCUCCGAGAAGAAAAGAAGAAGAUAAAAAAGCCACUUGACUAAAAUUGCCCACCUCCUCGCCCCCAGCCUGACGCCAGUUGGAAAGUCCCAGGGAAAGCCUCCCCUGGACUCAGGUGGGGUGAGGGGCCCCGGGUGCGGGCGCGCCCUCUGUCAUCCAGUCCCCACUGGAAGCAGCAGGCUGCAGCGAGAGAGAAGCAGUCUCCCCCAAGAAGAGAGGGGGGGUCCCCAGAAAUGAGGAGGGGUCAGAGGCAGUCAGAGCGAUACAUGCUCACACCGAAGCAAAGGGGGUCAUUGUUCUUCCUGCUUCACUCCCUGGCGAGCGGGACCCUAGGCUAAGGGGGAAGCUCGUGGUCAAACCCACAUGUGGCCGACAUGGGGAACACAGUCCAGAACAGGUUGAAAGGCGCCUCCGAGUUGAAAGUGCUCAGCAAUAAAAGGUAAACCAAGUUAUUCUGGCGCCUGUAACCUAAACCAUUCCAGUUUACAGUCUUAACGAAAGUACUACAGGACCAAGGAUCAAAACCGGACAGCAUUUUGUUAGGAAACGGCACUAUUUCAGAGUUUUGUUUUGUUUUGUUUCCCCACAAAGUUUUAUUCAUCUGCUGUUAAAUCAUGCAUAUGAUUUACUUGGGGCUAUGACUGAAAUUUUUUCAAUUAGAAAAAUGUAAAUUAC
Molecule: long non-coding RNA, 1144 nt
Organism: Bos taurus (domestic cattle)
Lineage: Eukaryota; Metazoa; Chordata; Mammalia; Artiodactyla; Bovidae
Source: Ensembl